GCGAAAGGACGACCUUUCCCCAUCAAGGGCAGCACUCGGGACGGCCCGC
This 49-nucleotide non-coding RNA is filed under the name Paracoccus sphaerophysae. RNAcentral describes it as "Guanidine-II sequence". It matches the Rfam family "Guanidine-II riboswitch aptamer (mini-ykkC)". From Rfam's summary of the family: Simpler in structure and has fewer highly conserved nucleotide positions than the ykkC-yxkD leader. Despite this each of its two stem-loop structures directly bind free guanidine. The record is from Rfam by way of RNAcentral. Lineage: Bacteria; Pseudomonadati; Pseudomonadota; Alphaproteobacteria; Rhodobacterales; Paracoccaceae.